This 1120-nucleotide ribosomal RNA is filed under the name gut metagenome. RNAcentral describes it as "bacterial SSU rRNA". It matches the Rfam family "Bacterial small subunit ribosomal RNA", at positions 385 to 1520 of the family's 1533-position model. The record is from RNAcentral.
GACCCAGCAACGCCGCGUGGAGGAAGAAGGUUUUCGGAUCGUAAACUCCUGUCCUUGGAGACGAGUAGAAGACGGUAUCCAAGGAGGAAGCCCCGGCUAACUACGUGCCAGCAGCCGCGGUAAUACGUAGGGGGCAAGCGUUGUCCGGAAUAAUUGGGCGUAAAGGGCGCGUAGGCGGCUCGGUAAGUCUGGAGUGAAAGUCCUGCUUUUAAGGUGGGAAUUGCUUUGGAUACUGUCGGGCUUGAGUGCAGGAGAGGUUAGUGGAAUUCCCAGUGUAGCGGUGAAAUGCGUAGAGAUUGGGAGGAACACCAGUGGCGAAGGCGACUAACUGGACUGUAACUGACGCUGAGGCGCGAAAGUGUGGGGAGCAAACAGGAUUAGAUACCCUGGUAGUCCACACUGUAAACGAUGAAUGCUAGGUGUAGGGGGUAUCGACCCCUUCUGUGCCGCAGUCAACACAAUAAGCAUUCCGCCUGGGGAGUACGGCCGCAAGGUUGAAACUCAAAGGAAUUGACGGGGGCCCGCACAAGCAGCGGAGCAUGUGGUUUAAUUCGACGCAACGCGAAGAACCUUACCAGGUCUUGACAUCCACUUAAACCUACAGAGAUGUAAGGUGUGCUUGCACAAAGUGAGACAGGUGGUGCAUGGUUGUCGUCAGCUCGUGUCGUGAGAUGUUGGGUUAAGUCCCGCAACGAGCGCAACCCUUAUCUUCAGUUACUAACGCGUGAAGGUGAGGACUCUGAAGAGACUGCCGGGGACAACUCGGAGGAAGGUGGGGACGACGUCAAAUCAUCAUGCCCCUUAUGACCUGGGCUACACACGUGCUACAAUGGCCACGACAGAGAGAAGCGAAAUCGUAAGGUAGAGCGGAACUCAAAAAAGUGGUCCCAGUUCGGAUUGUGGGCUGCAACCCGCCCACAUGAAGUCGGAGUUGCUAGUAAUCGCGGAUCAGCAUGCCGCGGUGAAUACGUUCCCGGGCCUUGUACACACCGCCCGUCACACCAUGGGAGUUGGGAGUGCCCAAAGCCGGUGAGGCAACCGCAAGGAGCCAGCCGUCUAAGGCAAGACCAAUGACUGGGGUGAAGUCGUAACAAGGUAGCCGUAUCGGAAGGUGCGGCUG